AGGAAAGAUGGUGGAAUGAGAUGGACAUCAUUACCCUAAGAACAUGGAUGAAGAUGCGAAUGGGGUGACUCUACUUUGUGUACAACCAGAGACAUGAAAAAUUGUGCUCUAUAUGUGUAAUAUAAAUUGAAUUGCAUUCUGCUGUCAUAUAUAUAUAUAUAUAUAUAUAUAUAAACAUAUUAGAAUAAAAAAAAUUAAAAAGAGAAAAAAACAACUCAAAAUGGAUAAAAGACUUAAUCAUAAGGUUUGCUACUCUAACACCUCUAGAAGAAAGCAUAAAGGAAAAGUUCCAUGAGCUUGGGUGGUAAUGUCUUGAAUAGGAUUCCCUAUUCAAAAAUUGGCCGAAUUGCAUCAAAUUAAAAACCUUCUGCACAUCAAGGGAAACCACAGAGUGAAGAGACAGCCCAUGUCUUGGGAGAGAAUAUCUGCAAAGCACAUGUCUGAUAUGGGGCCAAUAGCCCUAAUGUGUGAAGAACUAGGUAACUUGAUAGAAGGAAACAGGUAACUUGAUUUAAAGUUUUGAACAGAUCCUUCUCAAAGAAGAGAAAUGAAUAGCCAACGGAUCUAUAAAAAAUGAAUAGCCAACAUUUUUGAUCAUCAGGGAAAUGAGAAUUUUAAACAAGGAGAUAUCAGUCACAUCUUUAGCUUGGCUGUUAUUAGGAUGAUGGAUGUUCAUAAGCACUGGCAGAGAUAGGCAGAAAAUGAACCCUCAGACUCUGUUGGUGGGAAUGUAAAUUAGUGUCGCUAUUUUGAAGAAAUGGAAGGUCCUCCAAAACUAAAACCAAAACUCCUAUAUUAUCCAGCUCCCCACUUCUGGGCCAAACAUUGAAGCUGGCGUGUUCACUGAGACGCUGUUCCCAACAGCUAAGAUGUGGAAGCAGCCCAAGUGCCCGUGAAUGGAUGAUUCCUUGGAAAAAGGAAAUGUGGCAUUUGUACACUGGGGCAUGUUAUAGAUACUCACAAGUGAGAGACGUGACACAAGGAGAAAUCUGCAAAUUUGGGGUGCGUACUGGAUGUGGCACACCUCCGUGGAGCCUGGGCUUCUGAAAGCAGGAACUGUCCAUCCUCAAGGACAAGAUGGUUGGGCUGUGCUUUCCCCUGGUGAUUAAAUCCUACCUGGUCUCCAGGAAGAAGAGAGGGUCCCCAGGUUCCCUGGGGCUGUGCCUGAUGGGAGAGGAAGGGCUCAAGGAGGCCUACUGUCCAGGGCCGUGCAGGGGACAGCCACUAAGGAAUACUGAUGGGGACUCCAGGGGCUGCUCAAGAAAGUUCUCUCUUGGUGGCUCGAACGUGUAUUCACCAACUAACUGUUCCACUUGCUCCUCCACAUUUUCAUCAUCAUCUGGUCUCCAAACGUGAAAUACAUUGGUCACCCUUGAGCUGCUGCAGGGAACAAACAGGUGUGACUCUCUGUCCCCCUUCCCUGUGUGGGACCUUAGGAGGCUGAG
This 1445-nucleotide long non-coding RNA is filed under the name Marmota monax (woodchuck). Lineage: Eukaryota; Metazoa; Chordata; Mammalia; Rodentia; Sciuridae. The record is from RNAcentral.